This 301-nucleotide ribosomal RNA is filed under the name uncultured bacterium. RNAcentral's name for it is "partial 16S ribosomal RNA". It matches the Rfam family "Bacterial small subunit ribosomal RNA", at positions 509 to 810 of the family's 1533-position model. The record is from RNAcentral.
CAGUAGCCGCGGGAAUACGUAGGUCCCGAGCGUUGUCCGGAUUUAUUGGGCGUAAAGCGAGCGCAGGCGGUCGGAUGAGUCUGAAGUUAAAGGCUGUGGCUUAACCAUAGUACGCUUUGGAAACUGUUUAACUUGAGUGCAAGAGGGGAGAGUGGAAUUCCAUGUGUAGCGGUGAAAUGCGUAGAUAUAUGGAGGAACACCGGUGGCGAAAGCGGCUCUCUGGCUUGUAACUGACGCUGAGGCUCGAAAGCGUGGGGAGCAAACAGGAUUAGAUACCCGCGUAGUCCCUGUCUUUAUACAC